GACUGGCUGCAAAAUUUACCCAUUUAAGGGAGCAUGCGCAGAACCCAUGUGCAGGCAAUUUUUCUUUUCCCCAAAAGAUAUCAAAAUUAAGCCACCUUUUUAGAAAAAAAAACCUAUUGAAAACCCAAAUCACCUUUUUAAAACCCAUUUUCCUUUUAACAAUCAUCUUUUUGAUUUUUUUUGAAAAAAACUUAAGAAUUUUUUUGAAAUGUUCUCUCAACUCAUACACUCAUUUUCUCCUCUUCAUCAGACACCAGCUCUAUCAAAGGUCCCAUGUGCGAUGAUCACCGACGACAUGAGCACAACUCCAGUAUAAUGGACGUGGGGCGUGGGUCGUGCUUGGUGGUGGAGAACGUGGGUAGUAGAAGCAUGGAGUCAGUUGGAGGCUAGGGUCCUGGCUGAAAAUGUUUUGGGGUUUGUGGGUUAGGGUUAAGUAUUUGGGCUUUAAAAUUGGGUCUGUUUUUAUUUUGUUUUUGAUUUGAUUUUGGUUCUAUUUUUGGUCUUUGGGGGUUUAUUUUUGUUUAAAAAUUUGGGCUUUAAAAGUAAAUGGGCCCGGGCAAAAUUUGGUACCCACAGUUGCCCCUCUUUGCUCGUUGUUUGUGUAACAAGAAUGAAGCAAAGACAUUAAAGAGUCAA
This is a long non-coding RNA of Gossypium arboreum, 636 nucleotides long. RefSeq lists it as uncharacterized. The transcript is spliced from 2 exons. Lineage: Eukaryota; Viridiplantae; Streptophyta; Magnoliopsida; Malvales; Malvaceae. The record is from RefSeq and is a predicted model, not a curated record.